GCCUGCGUGGCUCAGCCUGGUAGAGCGAGUGAUUCGUAAUCACUAGGCCGUGGGUUCGAAUCCCACCGUAGGCU
Molecule: transfer RNA, 74 nt
Filed under: Methanobacteriota archaeon
Lineage: Archaea; Methanobacteriati; Methanobacteriota
Also listed under: 1 other name
Description: Euryarchaeota archaeon tRNA-Thr
Rfam family: tRNA
About the family: Transfer RNA (tRNA) molecules are approximately 80 nucleotides in length.
Source: RNAcentral